Solanum dulcamara is the source of this 432-nucleotide long non-coding RNA. RefSeq lists it as uncharacterized. Lineage: Eukaryota; Viridiplantae; Streptophyta; Magnoliopsida; Solanales; Solanaceae. The record is from RefSeq and is a predicted model, not a curated record. The transcript has 4 exons.
AGGAACGGGCAUUUCAUCCUCUUCUCGUGGUUAGUUGGUGAUCUAUUGAAGAUCGUGUGGUCUUACUUUGGGCCGUGACUCUGCUACAACGAGGAAAAAUCUUAAGCUUAUUAUUUCUAACAUUUUUGUUGAGCCAUGUUGAUUUUUACAUUGUUGCAUUUUUUUGGUUGGCCAAGCUGGAGUUGGUUGAAAGACCUGUGCUCCUCCUCGUUCUCCUCCACGUGGCUAGUUGAGAUUUCGUUUGAAGACUAUUUUUGGUGAGUUCCCAUGUUUUGGGAACAAUACUCCUUUAUCUUUUUAGCUUAUGAUAUGUUGAGAUCUUUAGACACUUACUAUGGUAUUUAUUUCUAUUAUGAUUAAGGGUGAGCUAGGUACUUGUCUUAGCCCCGUUAAAUCUAAAAGUUAGAGGUAUUGUUGGACAUAUAUAAGUUG